Small nuclear RNA from Mauremys mutica (yellowpond turtle), 195 nucleotides. RefSeq annotates it as U2 spliceosomal RNA. The transcript has a single exon. The record is from RefSeq and is a predicted model, not a curated record. Lineage: Eukaryota; Metazoa; Chordata; Testudines; Geoemydidae.
AUUGCUUCUCGGCUCCUUGGAGCUAAGAUCAAAAGCGUAGUGUCUGUUCUUAUCAGUUUAAUAUCUGAUAGGUCCUUUAUUUGAGGACUGUAUAUUAAAUUGAUUUUUGAAACAAGGGGAUAGAAUAGGAGCUUGUUCUGUCCACCCCAUGCAUUGACCUGGUAUUGCAAUGUCUCCAGGACCAGUGCCUCUCCU